RNAcentral lists this ribosomal RNA (206 nucleotides) under uncultured bacterium. RNAcentral's name for it is "partial 16S ribosomal RNA". It matches the Rfam family "Bacterial small subunit ribosomal RNA", at positions 524 to 727 of the family's 1533-position model. The record is from RNAcentral.
UACGUAGGGCGCAAGCGUUGUCCGGAAUUAUUGGGCGUAAAGAGCUCGUAGGCGGUUUGUCGCGUCUGCUGUGAAAACCUAAGGCUCAACCUUGGGCUUGCAGUGGGUACGGGCAGACUAGAGUGCGGUAGGGUGACUGGAAUUCCGUGGUGAUAGCGGUGGAAUGCGCAGAUAUCAGGAGGAACACCGAGUGGCGAAGGCAGGUC